CGGAUGCGAUCAUACCAGCACUAAAGUACCGGAUCCCAUCAGAACUCCGAAGUUAAGCGUGCUUGGGCGAGAGUAGUACUAGGAUGGGUGACCUCCUCGGAAGUUCUCGUGUUGCAUCCCUC
Molecule: ribosomal RNA, 122 nt
Filed under: Oryza sativa Indica Group (long-grained rice)
Lineage: Eukaryota; Viridiplantae; Streptophyta; Magnoliopsida; Poales; Poaceae
Source: RNAcentral